This 674-nucleotide ribosomal RNA is filed under the name Gottfriedia luciferensis. Its description in RNAcentral is "bacterial SSU rRNA". It matches the Rfam family "Bacterial small subunit ribosomal RNA", at positions 781 to 1459 of the family's 1533-position model. The record is from RNAcentral. Lineage: Bacteria; Bacillati; Bacillota; Bacilli; Caryophanales; Bacillaceae.
GAUACCCUGGUAGUCCACGCUGUAACGAUGAUGUAAGUGUUAGAGGUUUCCGCCCUUUAGUGCUGAAGUUAACGCAUUAAGCACUCCGCUGGGGAGUACGGUCGCAAGACUGAAACUCAAAGGAAUUGACGGGGGCCCGCACAAGUGGUGGAGCAUGUGGUUUAAUUCGAAGCAACGCGAAGAACCUUACCAGGUCUUGACAUCCUCUGACAACCCUAGAGAUAGGGCUUUCCCUUCGGGGACAGAGUGACAGGUGGUGCAUGGUUGUCGUCAGCUCGUGUCGUGAGAUGUUGGGUUAAGUCCCGCAACGAGCGCAACCCUUGAUCUUAGUUGCCAGCAUUCAGUUGGGCACUCUAAGGUGACUGCCGGUGACAAACCGGAGGAAGGUGGGGAUGACGUCAAAUCAUCAUGCCCCUUAUGACCUGGGCUACACACGUGCUACAAUGGAUAGUACAAAGGGUUGCAAGACCGCGAGGUGGAGCUAAUCCCAUAAAACUAUUCUCAGUUCGGAUUGUAGGCUGCAACUCGCCUACAUGAAGCCGGAAUCACUAGUAAUCGCGGAUCAGCAUGCCGCGGUGAAUACGUUCCCGGGCCUUGUACACACCGCCCGUCACACCACGAGAGUUUGUAACACCCGAAGUCGGUGGGGUAACCUUUUAGGGGCCAGCCGCCUA